Molecule: ribosomal RNA, 253 nt
Filed under: uncultured bacterium
Lineage: Bacteria
Description: partial 16S ribosomal RNA
Rfam family: Bacterial small subunit ribosomal RNA
Source: RNAcentral
UACGGAGGGGGCUAGCUUUGUUCGGAAUUACUGGGCGUAAAGCGCACGUAGGCGGCUUUGUAAGUUAGAGGUGAAAGCCCGGGGCUCAACUCCGGAAUUGCCUUUAAGACUGCAUCGCUAGAAUUGUGGAGAGGUAAGUGGAAUUCCGAGUGUAGAGGUGAAAUUCGUAGAUAUUCGGAAGAACACCAGUGGCGAAGGCGACUUACUGGACACAUAUUGACGCUGAGGUGCGAAAGCGUGGGGAGCAAACAGG